CCAUCACCGCUCAGUCAUAUUUCCCAUUUUAAAUACAACAAAGUGGGGGCGCUGGCAGACUGGAAAUGG
RNAcentral lists this microRNA precursor (69 nucleotides) under Picea abies (Norway spruce). RNAcentral's name for it is "miR11412 stem-loop (pab-MIR11412)". Lineage: Eukaryota; Viridiplantae; Streptophyta; Pinopsida; Pinales; Pinaceae. The record is from miRBase by way of RNAcentral.